RNAcentral lists this ribosomal RNA (668 nucleotides) under Brevundimonas sp. RNAcentral's name for it is "bacterial SSU rRNA". It matches the Rfam family "Bacterial small subunit ribosomal RNA", at positions 134 to 837 of the family's 1533-position model. The record is from RNAcentral. Lineage: Bacteria; Pseudomonadati; Pseudomonadota; Alphaproteobacteria; Caulobacterales; Caulobacteraceae.
AGGUUCGGAAUAACUCAGGGAAACUUGUGCUAAUACCGAAUGUGCCCUUCGGGGGAAAGAUUUAUCGCCUUUAGAGCGGCCCGCGUCUGAUUAGCUAGUUGGUGAGGUAAAGGCUCACCAAGGCGACGAUCAGUAGCUGGUCUGAGAGGAUGAUCAGCCACAUUGGGACUGAGACACGGCCCAAACUCCUACGGGAGGCAGCAGUGGGGAAUCUUGCGCAAUGGGCGAAAGCCUGACGCAGCCAUGCCGCGUGAAUGAUGAAGGUCUUAGGAUUGUAAAAUUCUUUCACCGGGGACGAUAAUGACGGUACCCGGAGAAGAAGCCCCGGCUAACUUCGUGCCAGCAGCCGCGGUAAUACGAAGGGGGCUAGCGUUGCUCGGAAUUACUGGGCGUAAAGGGAGCGUAGGCGGACAUUUAAGUCAGGGGUGAAAUCCCGGGGCUCAACCUCGGAAUUGCCUUUGAUACUGGGUGUCUUGAGUGUGAGAGAGGUAUGUGGAACUCCGAGUGUAGAGGUGAAAUUCGUAGAUAUUCGGAAGAACACCAGUGGCGAAGGCGACAUACUGGCUCAUUACUGACGCUGAGGCUCGAAAGCGUGGGGAGCAAACAGGAUUAGAUACCCUGGUAGUCCACGCCGUAAACGAUGAUUGCUAGUUGUCGGGAUGCAUGCA